Long non-coding RNA from Scylla paramamosain (green mud crab), 329 nucleotides. RefSeq lists it as uncharacterized. The transcript is spliced from 3 exons. Lineage: Eukaryota; Metazoa; Arthropoda; Malacostraca; Decapoda; Portunidae. The record is from RefSeq and is a predicted model, not a curated record.
UGUCACUCCGAGCUUGUGUCCGCGUCCAUCAUUCUAUCCUGCCGCCUUGCCAGCAAUUUCCCUGAUACAAGUUCAGUCAGGUCUGGUAUCACCCUGAGCGGCAUCUGUGGAAUGUGGAAUCGUCUCCGAAUUCUCAGUGCGCGUUCGAACACUGUUCCGAACCCAGCUCCGUUCGAACAGUUUGAUCAAGCCGUGUGGCAAGGGAAGGAACAAGACGAGCAUCAGCGCCCCCGUCACGUUUAUCAUCUCCUGCAGGGACUCUGGCGCCGCGUGGCUGUCAGGUGCGGCGUGAUCGAAGCUUGCCAUCACCACCACCACCACCACCACUG